GUGAACGCUGGCGGUAGGCCUAACACAUGCAGGUCGAACGGCAGCACAGUAAGAGCUUGCUCUUACGGGUGGCGAGUGGCGGACGGGUGAGGAAUACAUCGGAAUCUACUUUUUCGUGGGGGAUAACGUAGGGAAACUUACGCUAAUACCGCAUACGACCUACGGGUGAAAGCAGGGGAUCUUCGGACCUUGCGCGAUUGAAUGAGCCGAUGUCGGAUUAGCUAGUUGGCGGGGUAAAGGCCCACCAAGGCGACGAUCCGUAGCUGGUCUGAGAGGAUGAUCAGCCACACUGGAACUGAGACACGGUCCAGACUCCUACGGGAGGCAGCAGUGGGGAAUAUUGGACAAUGGGCGCAAGCCUGAUCCAGCCAUACCGCGUGGGUGAAGAAGGCCUUCGGGUUGUAAAGCCCUUUUGUUGGGAAAGAAAAGCAGCAGGUUAAUACCCCGCUGUUCUGACGGUACCCAAAGAAUAAGCACCGGCUAACUUCGUG
This 491-nucleotide ribosomal RNA is filed under the name uncultured bacterium. RNAcentral describes it as "partial 16S ribosomal RNA". It matches the Rfam family "Bacterial small subunit ribosomal RNA", at positions 29 to 507 of the family's 1533-position model. The record is from RNAcentral.